UACGUAGGGUCCGAGCGUUGUCCGGAAUUACUGGGCGUAAAGAGCUCGUAGGUGGUUUGUCGCGUUGUUCGUGAAAACUCACAGCUUAACUGUGGGCGUGCGGGCGAUACGGGCAGACUUGAGUACUGCAGGGGAGACUGGAAUUCCUGGUGUAGCGGUGGAAUGCGUAGAGAUCCGGAAGAACACCGGUGGCGAAGGCGGCCUGCUGGGCUAUGGCUGACACUGAGGCGCGACAGCGUGGGGAGCAAACAGG
RNAcentral lists this ribosomal RNA (253 nucleotides) under uncultured bacterium. RNAcentral describes it as "partial 16S ribosomal RNA". It matches the Rfam family "Bacterial small subunit ribosomal RNA", at positions 524 to 776 of the family's 1533-position model. The record is from RNAcentral.